This 1508-nucleotide ribosomal RNA is filed under the name Helicobacter pylori. RNAcentral's name for it is "bacterial SSU rRNA". It matches the Rfam family "Bacterial small subunit ribosomal RNA". Lineage: Bacteria; Pseudomonadati; Campylobacterota; Epsilonproteobacteria; Campylobacterales; Helicobacteraceae. The record is from RNAcentral.
UUUAUGGAGAGUUUGAUCCUGGCUCAGAGUGAACGCUGGCGGCGUGCCUAAUACAUGCAAGUCGAACGAUGAAGCUUCUAGCUUGCUAGAAGUGGAUUAGUGGCGCACGGGUGAGUAACGCAUAGGUCAUGUGCCUCUUAGUUUGGGAUAGCCAUUGGAAACGAUGAUUAAUACCAGAUACUCCCUACGGGGGAAAGAUUUAUCGCUAAGAGAUCAGCCUAUGUCCUAUCAGCUUGUUGGUAAGGUAAUGGCUUACCAAGGCUAUGACGGGUAUCCGGCCUGAGAGGGUGAACGGACACACUGGAACUGAGACACGGUCCAGACUCCUACGGGAGGCAGCAGUAGGGAAUAUUGCUCAAUGGGGGAAACCCUGAAGCAGCAACGCCGCGUGGAGGAUGAAGGUUUUAGGAUUGUAAACUCCUUUUGUUAGAGAAGAUAAUGACGGUAUCUAACGAAUAAGCACCGGCUAACUCCGUGCCAGCAGCCGCGGUAAUACGGAGGGUGCAAGCGUUACUCGGAAUCACUGGGCGUAAAGAGCGCGUAGGCGGGAUAGUCAGUCAGGUGUGAAAUCCUAUGGCUUAACCAUAGAACUGCAUUUGAAACUACUAUUCUAGAGUGUGGGAGAGGUAGGUGGAAUUCUUGGUGUAGGGGUAAAAUCCGUAGAGAUCAAGAGGAAUACUCAUUGCGAAGGCGACCUGCUGGAACAUUACUGACGCUGAUUGCGCGAAAGCGUGGGGAGCAAACAGGAUUAGAUACCCUGGUAGUCCACGCCCUAAACGAUGGAUGCUAGUUGUUGGAGGGCUUAGUCUCUCCAGUAAUGCAGCUAACGCAUUAAGCAUCCCGCCUGGGGAGUACGGUCGCAAGAUUAAAACUCAAAGGAAUAGACGGGGACCCGCACAAGCGGUGGAGCAUGUGGUUUAAUUCGAAGAUACACGAAGAACCUUACCUAGGCUUGACAUUGAGAGAAUCCGCUAGAAAUAGUGGAGUGUCUGGCUUGCCAGACCUUGAAAACAGGUGCUGCACGGCUGUCGUCAGCUCGUGUCGUGAGAUGUUGGGUUAAGUCCCGCAACGAGCGCAACCCCCUUUCUUAGUUGCUAACAGGUCAUGCUGAGAACUCUAAGGAUACUGCCUCCGUAAGGAGGAGGAAGGUGGGGACGACGUCAAGUCAUCAUGGCCCUUACGCCUAGGGCUACACACGUGCUACAAUGGGGUGCACAAAGAGAAGCAAUACUGCGAAGUGGAGCCAAUCUUCAAAACACCUCUCAGUUCGGAUUGUAGGCUGCAACUCGCCUGCAUGAAGCUGGAAUCGCUAGUAAUCGCAAAUCAGCCAUGUUGCGGUGAAUACGUUCCCGGGUCUUGUACUCACCGCCCGUCACACCAUGGGAGUUGUGUUUGCCUUAAGUCAGGAUGCUAAAUUGGCUACUGCCCACGGCACACACAGCGACUGGGGUGAAGUCGUAACAAGGUAACCGUAGGUGAACCUGCGGUUGGAUCACCUCCUUUCUAGA